CGUUGGUUUACCAGCGAGUGGCGGACGGGUGAGUAACACGUAGGUAACCUGCCCCAAAGCGGGGGAUAACAUUUGGAAACAGAUGCUAAUACCGCAUAACAAUUUGAAUCGCAUGAUUCAAAUUUAAAAGAUGGUUUCGGCUAUCACUUUGGGAUGGACCUGCGGCGCAUUAGCUUGUUGGUAGGGUAACGGCCUACCAAGGCUGUGAUGCGUAGCCGAGUUGAGAGACUGAUCGGCCACAAUGGAACUGAGACACGGUCCAUACUCCUACGGGAGGCAGCAGUAGGGAAUCUUCCACAAUGGGCGCAAGCCUGAUGGAGCAACACCGCGUGAGUGAAGAAGGGUUUCGGCUCGUAAAGCUCUGUUGUUAGAGAAGAACGUGCGUGAGAGCAACUGUUCACGCAGUGACGGUAUCUAACCAGAAAGUCACGGCUAACUACGUGCCAGCAGCCGCGGUAAUACGUAGGUGGCAAGCGUUAUCCGGAUUUAUUGGGCGUAAAGCGAGCGCAGGCGGUUUGAUAAGUCUGAUGUGAAAGCCUUUGGCUUAACCAAAGAAGUGCAUCGGAAACUGUCAGACUUGAG
This 582-nucleotide ribosomal RNA is filed under the name Limosilactobacillus mucosae. RNAcentral describes it as "bacterial SSU rRNA". It matches the Rfam family "Bacterial small subunit ribosomal RNA", at positions 69 to 646 of the family's 1533-position model. The record is from RNAcentral. Lineage: Bacteria; Bacillati; Bacillota; Bacilli; Lactobacillales; Lactobacillaceae.